Molecule: ribosomal RNA, 497 nt
Filed under: uncultured bacterium
Lineage: Bacteria
Description: partial 16S ribosomal RNA
Rfam family: Bacterial small subunit ribosomal RNA
Source: RNAcentral
GAUGAACGCUGGCGGCGUGCCUAAUACAUGCAAGUCGAGCGAACAGACGAGGAGCUUGCUCCUCUGACGUUAGCGGCGGACGGGUGAGUAACACGUGGAUAACCUACCUAUAAGACUGGGAUAACUUCGGGAAACCGGAGCUAAUACCGGAUAACAUGUUGAACCGCAUGGUUCAACAGUGAAAGACGGUUUUGCUGUCACUUAUAGAUGGAUCCGCGCCGCAUUAGCUAGUUGGUAAGGUAACGGCUUACCAAGGCAACGAUGCGUAGCCGACCUGAGAGGGUGAUAGGCCACACUGGAACUGAGACACGGUCCAGACUCCUAAGGGAGGCAGCAGUAGGGAAUCUUCCGCAAUGGGCGAAAGCCUGACGGAGCAACGCCGCGUGAGUGAAGAAGGUCUUCGGAUCGUAAAACUCUGUUAUUAGGGAAGAACAAAUGUGUAAGUAACUAUGCACGUCUUGACGGUACCUAAUCAGAAAGCCACGGCUAACUACGUG